UCUUUCUUGGCCAACGGAGGAAAAGAAACCAACAGGGAUUGCCCUAGUAACGGCGAGUGAAGCGGCAACAGCUCAAAUUUGAAAGCUGGCUCCGGCCCGCAUUGUAAUUUGCAGAGGAUGCUUCUGGCAAGGUGCCUUCCGAGUUCCCUGGAACGGGACGCCAUAGAGGGUGAGAGCCCCGUAUGGAUGGACACCAAGCCUGUGUGAAGCUCCUUCAACGAGUCGAGUAGUUUGGGAAUGCUGCUCAAAAUGGGAGGUAAAUCUCUUCUAAAGCUAAAUACCGGCCAGAGACCGAUAGCGCACAAGUAGAGUGAUCGAAAGAUGAAAAGCACCUUGAAAAGGGGGUUAAACAGUACGUGAAAUUGUUGAAAGGGAAGCGCUUGUGACCAGACUUGCGCCGGGCGGCUCAUCAGGGGUUCUCCCCUGUGCACUCCGCCCGGCUCAGGCCAGCAUCGGUUCUCGUGGGGGGAUAAGAACGGUGGGAACGUGGCCCCCCUCCGGGGGGGUGUUAUAGCCCGCCGUACGAUACUCUCGCGGGGACCGAGGUUCGCGCUCCGCAAGGAUGCUGGCGUAAUGGUCAUCAGCGACCCGUCUGAAAACCGAAAAACCAUGUUUGCUCAAG
RNAcentral lists this ribosomal RNA (622 nucleotides) under Cytospora pruinosa. RNAcentral describes it as "partial large subunit ribosomal RNA". It matches the Rfam family "Eukaryotic large subunit ribosomal RNA", at positions 37 to 664 of the family's 3401-position model. Lineage: Eukaryota; Fungi; Ascomycota; Sordariomycetes; Diaporthales; Cytosporaceae. The record is from RNAcentral.